UGGUGGAGUGAUUUGUCUGGUUAAUUCCUGCUAAAUAGCCAGCGUGUAUGAUCUCGCGCGCUGCGCUUCUUAGAGGGAUAGGCUACUCUUAGUGGCAAGAAACUGAGCAAUAACA
Molecule: ribosomal RNA, 115 nt
Filed under: uncultured eukaryote
Lineage: Eukaryota
Description: partial 18S ribosomal RNA
Source: RNAcentral